RNAcentral lists this ribosomal RNA (374 nucleotides) under uncultured bacterium. RNAcentral describes it as "bacterial SSU rRNA". It matches the Rfam family "Bacterial small subunit ribosomal RNA", at positions 524 to 898 of the family's 1533-position model. The record is from RNAcentral.
GACGAACCGUGCGAACGUUAUUCGGAAUCACUGGGCUUAAAGGGCGCGUAGGCGGGCCGAAAAGUCAGGGGUGAAAUCCUCCAGCCCAACUGGAGAAGCGCCUUUGGUACUGUCGGCCUCGAGGGGUGCAGGGGCAUGCGGAACUCAGGGUGGAGCGGUGAAAUGCGUAGAUAUCCUGAGGAACACCGGUGGCGAAAGCGGCGUGCUGGACACCUUCUGACGCUGAGGCGCGAAAGCCAGGGGAGCGAACGGGAUUAGAUACCCCGGUAGUCCUGGCCCUAAACGAUGGGCACUAGGUAGCGGCCUUGCAUGGGGUCGCUGCCGAAGCAAAAGUGUUAAGUGCCCCGCCUGGGGAGUAUGGUCGCAAGGCUGAA